GAUGAACGCUGGCGGCGUGCCUAAUACAUGCAAGUCGAGCGAACGGACGAGACGCUUGCUUCUCUGAUGUUAGCGGCGGACGUGUGAGUAACACGUGGAUCACCUACCUAUCAGACUGGUAUAACUUCGGGACACCGGCGCUAAUACCGUAUAAUCUUUUGCACCGCAUUGUUCAAAAGUGAAAGACGGUCUUUCUGUCACUUCUCGAUGGAUCCGCGCUGCAUUAGCUAGUUGGUAAGGUAACGGCUUACCAAGGCAACGAUGCAUAGCCGACCUGAGAGGGUGAGCGGCCAGACUGGAACUGAGACACGGUACAGAGGCCUAGGGGAGGCAGCAGUAGGGAAUCGGCAGCAAUGGGCGAAAGCAUGACGGAGUAACGACGCGUGAGUGAUGAAGGUCUUCGGAUCGGAAAACUCUGUUAUGAGGGAAGAACAUAUGUGGAAGUAACGGUGCACAGCGUGACGGUAAAUAAUCAGAAAGCCACGGCUAACUACGUG
This 497-nucleotide ribosomal RNA is filed under the name uncultured bacterium. RNAcentral's name for it is "partial 16S ribosomal RNA". It matches the Rfam family "Bacterial small subunit ribosomal RNA", at positions 28 to 507 of the family's 1533-position model. The record is from RNAcentral.